UACGUAGGGGGCAAGCGUUGUCCGGAUUUAUUGGGCGUAAAGAGCGUGUAGGCGGCCCGAUAAGUCCGCUGUGAAAGUCCAGGGCUCAACCCUGGGAUGCCGGUGGAUACUGUCGGGCUCGAGUCCGGAAGAGGAGUGUGGAAUUCCUAGUGUAGCGGUGAAAUGCGUAGAGAUUAGGAAGAACACCAGUGGCGAAGGCGACUUACUGGACUGUAACUGACGCUGAGGCAUGAAAGCGUGGGGAGCAAACAGG
Molecule: ribosomal RNA, 253 nt
Filed under: uncultured bacterium
Lineage: Bacteria
Description: partial 16S ribosomal RNA
Rfam family: Bacterial small subunit ribosomal RNA
Source: RNAcentral